This 301-nucleotide ribosomal RNA is filed under the name uncultured bacterium. Its description in RNAcentral is "partial 16S ribosomal RNA". It matches the Rfam family "Bacterial small subunit ribosomal RNA", at positions 509 to 807 of the family's 1533-position model. The record is from RNAcentral.
CAGCCGCCGCGGUAAAACGGAGGGUGCAAGCGUUAAUCGGAAUUACUGGGCGUAGAGCGCACGCAGGCGGUCUGUCAAGUCAGAUGUGAAAUCCCCGGGCUUAACCUGGGAACUGCAUUUGAAACUGGCAGGCUAGAGUCUUGUAGAGGGGGGUAGAAUUCCAGGUGUAGCGGUGAAAUGCGUAGAGAUCUGGAGGAAUACCGGUGGCGAAGGCGGCCCCCUGGACAAAGACUGACGCUCAGGUGCGAAAGCGUGGGGAGCAAACAGGAUUAGAUACCCCGGUAGUCCCUGUCUCUUAUAC